UUCAUAGACAAAAAAAAAAAAUAAAAUGGGGCGGAGAGAAGUCAAAUAAACUCAAGAGUAAAAGGCAGAUUGGAGCCCAGCAUGUAGCGAGCAUCUCUUAUAAACACCACCUGUCAAUAAAAAAAAGCUGAUGGCCAAUGAGCUGAAGCAGGAAAUAGGCGGUGGGACACUGGCCGGAAGAAGAGGAUUCUGGGAAAUAGUGAGUCAAUAAAAGAGAGACCCACAGAAAGCUGCCGAAGACUCGAGGGGACACGUGAUGGAAGACUGACGGAGGGACUGACAUAGAAACUCAGAGAGACGCUGAGAAGAGGCCAAGAAAGAAGUGAGCCGGACCUGAGGAGAGGUACGGAGGGAGAUGGACUGAGACCAGUAAAGGGGCGGACCGCAACAAGCCUUUCCUCCGGUCAAGUUAACUGCCUAGGAUAUUUUACCGUGGUGAUAGAAAGCUGGCUAAUACCACAGGGAAGAAGAUACUGUCACACUUCCACAGAAGAAAGGAAGGCCAAAGACUGUCCGAUUGCCAUUUGCAGACAACCAGCCAAAGGUUUGGAGGUGUGAGACACAGGACAUCCUUCUCAACCAACUGUGGUCAUCGCACACAGGUUACGUAAGUAUAAUUCUUCUCUUCCUCUAGAAGAGAGAGACCCUGCUUCUUGUGCAUGCUUCCAUUAUAACCCGAUUCUUAAGCCGCUCCCACAUAAUUUCACCAAAGCUACAUUCCACAGACACUAUAGGAACCAUCUGGCUUCAAGAAGAAAAAUGUUUAUUUGCAACAUACCUCGGUGGGGCCCAAUUUUAUUCACACACAGAGACCUCCAAACAAAAUUCCGAUUUAAAAUUGAUUUCCUAAUUGGUCCCAUCUAAUAAACAAUUUGGGAAUCUGAAUGCAAACUAAUUUCUCCGGGAAAUUCUCCUUUUCCUUUUCCUGCUGUUGCUUCCUGGUGCGCUGCCCUCUCUGCCUUCCAUAUCCUCUACUCUCUCCCCUCGUGGACUUCUAUCCUUCCUCUUUUCCUUGUACAAACCCCCUCAUCUCCCUGUCAACAUUAUUACACUCCUGAAAUGCUGGCUGCUACCCAAAGGUCCAUCCCGUCAGUCUCGGGCCUUCCGUUGCUGUGAUAAGACAUCAUCACCGAAAGCAACUUGGAGAAGAGGGGUUUGUUUCACCUUUACAGCUUUUAAGGCCACCACUAAGAGAAGUUAGGGUAGGAACUGCAGGCAGCAGUAUGAAGCAGAAACUGGAGCAGAGACCACAGGAAAGCACUGCGUCCUGGCUUGCUCGACUCAGACCGUCCAGGAGCAUCUGCCCAGGGUGGCAUCCACACAAUGAACUGGUCCUCCCGCAUCAAUUACUAUUCAGCAAAGUGCCCUACGGGUUUGCCCACAGGUGAAUCUGGUGGGGCAUUUCCUCAACUGAUCUUUUCAAACGACCCU
RNAcentral lists this small RNA (1431 nucleotides) under Rattus norvegicus (Norway rat). RNAcentral describes it as "uncharacterized LOC108348452". Lineage: Eukaryota; Metazoa; Chordata; Mammalia; Rodentia; Muridae. The record is from RNAcentral.